CUGGCUCAGGAUGAACGCUGGCGGCGUGCCUAAUACAUGCAAGUCGAACGAGGUAUUAUACCGAGUGGCGAACGGGUGAGUAACACGUAGGUAACCUGCCUUACAGUUUGGGAUACCCUGGCGAAAGCUAGGCUAAUACCGAAUAAUUGGAUUGGAGGCAUCUCCGAUCUCUAAAAGGGGCCCUUAAAGCCUCGCUGAAUGAUGGACCUGCGGCGCAUUAGCUAGUUGGUGAGAUAAUAGCCCACCAAGGCGAGGAUGCGUAGCCGACCUGAGAGGGUGAACGGCCACACUGGAACUGAGACACGGUCCAGACUCCUACGGGAGGCAGCAGUGAGGAAUAUUGGUCAAUGGACGGAAGUCUGAACCAGCCAAGUAGCGUGCAAGGAUGACGGCCCUAUGGGUUGUAAACUGCUUUUGUCAGGGAAUAAAGUGAGGCACGUGUGCCUUUUUGUAUGUACCUGAAGAAUAAGGACCGGCUAAUUCCGUGCCAGCAGCGGC
Molecule: ribosomal RNA, 498 nt
Filed under: uncultured bacterium
Lineage: Bacteria
Description: bacterial SSU rRNA
Rfam family: Bacterial small subunit ribosomal RNA
Source: RNAcentral